This 460-nucleotide ribosomal RNA is filed under the name uncultured bacterium. RNAcentral's name for it is "partial 16S ribosomal RNA". It matches the Rfam family "Bacterial small subunit ribosomal RNA", at positions 338 to 795 of the family's 1533-position model. The record is from RNAcentral.
CCUACGGGGUGCAGCAGUGAGGAAUAUUGGUCAAUGGACGAGAGUCUGAACCAGCCAAGUAGCGUGAAGGAUGACUGCCCUAUGGGUUGUAAACUUCUUUUAUAUGGGAAUAAAAUGUUCCACGUGUGGGAUUUUGUAUGUACCAUAUGAAUAAGGAUCGGCUAACUCCGUGCCAGCAGCCGCGGUAAUACGGAGGAUCCGAGUGUUAUCCGGAUUUAUUGGGGUUAAAGGGAGCGUAGGUGGAUUGUUCAGUCAGUUGUGAAAGUUUGCGGCUCAACCGUAAAAUUGCAUUUGAAACUGGCAGUCUUGAGUACAUGAUAAGUGUGAGGAAUUCGUGGUGUAGCGGUGACAUGCUUAGAUAUCACGAAGAACUCCGAUUGCGAAGGCAGUUCACUGGACUGCAACUGACACUGAGGCUCGAAAGUGUGGGUAUCAAACAGGAUUAGAUACCCCAGUAGUC